UUGGGUAAGAUACAAUAAAGGUCACUAACUCUGAGCUAAGUUUCAUUUUAGUCACACUAUGGACAUUAACGAGAUAGAGAUAUUUGAUCAGGCUUUAUCUUGUAGCUAUUGGGACUUAUGUCUAAUUAACUAAUUGGUGAGACAAUAACUUACCAAAACAAUGAUCAGUAGUUGAUCCAAGUGGGUGAUCAAUCAAAUUGGGACAGAGACAUGGCCCAGACACCCACCAAAG
This 232-nucleotide ribosomal RNA is filed under the name Olea europaea subsp. europaea. Its description in RNAcentral is "SSU_rRNA_bacteria". The record is from RNAcentral. Lineage: Eukaryota; Viridiplantae; Streptophyta; Magnoliopsida; Lamiales; Oleaceae.